AUUCCAGCUCCAAUAGCGUAUAUUAAAGUUGUUGCAGUUAAAAAGCUCGUAGUCGGAUUUUGGCAUCACGCCGAACUGUCUGCCGAUUGGUAAGUACGGUUUGGCGGGUGCUUCCUUCCGGAGGCUCGUUCCCUUCUUCAUUGAAGGGUUCGUUGGUUCCGGGUCUUUUACUUUGAGAAAAUUAGAGUGUUCAAAGCAGGCCUAUGCUCUGAAUAGGUUAGCAUGGAAUAAUAGAAUAGGACUUUGGUUCUAUUUUGUUGGUUUCUAGGGCCGAAGUAAUGAUUAAUAGGGACAGUUGGGGGCAUUAGUAUUUAUUAGCCAGAGGUGGAAUUCUCUAAUUUGAUAAAGACUAACUUAUGCGAAAGCAUUUGCCAAGGAUGUUUUCAUCA
RNAcentral lists this ribosomal RNA (389 nucleotides) under Picozoa sp. RNAcentral's name for it is "partial small subunit ribosomal RNA". It matches the Rfam family "Eukaryotic small subunit ribosomal RNA", at positions 582 to 975 of the family's 1831-position model. Lineage: Eukaryota; Picozoa. The record is from RNAcentral.